Molecule: transfer RNA, 73 nt
Filed under: Terrestrivirus sp.
Lineage: Varidnaviria; Bamfordvirae; Nucleocytoviricota; Megaviricetes; Imitervirales; Mimiviridae
Description: tRNA-Gln
Source: RNAcentral
UACCCCUGAUGAGAAUCGAACUCACACCUACAAUUUCAAAGACUGGUGCUCUCAACCGUUGAGCUACAGGGGC